Molecule: ribosomal RNA, 448 nt
Filed under: uncultured bacterium
Lineage: Bacteria
Description: bacterial SSU rRNA
Rfam family: Bacterial small subunit ribosomal RNA
Source: RNAcentral
UACCAGACUCCUACGGGAGGCAGCAGUGGGGAAUAUUGCACAAUGGGGGGAACCCUGAUGCAGCGACGCCGCGUGGGUGAAGGAGUAUUUCGGUAUGUAAAGCCCUAUCAGCAGGGAAGAACAAUGACGGUACCUGAGUAAGAAGCACCGGCUAAAUACGUGCCAGCAGCCGCGGUAAUACGUAUGGUGCAAGCGUUAUCCGGAUUUACUGGGUGUAAAGGGAGCGCAGGCGGCACGGCAAGCCUGAUGUGAAAGCCCGCGGCCCAACCGCGGGACUGCAUUGGGAACUACCGGGCUGGAGUGCCGGAGAGGUAGGCGGAAUUCCUAGUGUAGCGGUGAAAUGCGUAGAUAUUAGGAGGAACACCAGUGGCGAAGGCGGCCUGCUGGACCGUAACUGACGUUGAGGCUCGAAAGCGUGGGGAGCAAACAGGAUUAGAUACCCCGGUAA